CGGCGGUUGGGCGAUCGGGCGGGUUUCUGAUUGGCGGUCGAGCGGAUGGGUUUCUGGCGGGCGGUCGACCGACUACCAAACAGUGUUCGUUCAUUAACAUAAAAGUGCUUUGACGAUGUUUUUUUAAAUUUAGUUAUGUUGUUUACUGUGACUAAAUGAAGAUUAAGUACAAUUGUCACGAUUUUAGCUUUUCUCGUUGUUAGUUG
RNAcentral lists this long non-coding RNA (206 nucleotides) under Mytilus galloprovincialis (Mediterranean mussel). The record is from RNAcentral. Lineage: Eukaryota; Metazoa; Mollusca; Bivalvia; Mytilida; Mytilidae.